GACGAACGCUGGCGGCGUGCCUAAUACAUGCAAGUCGAGCGAAGUUUUUCUGGUGCUUGCACUAGAAAAACUUAGCGGCGAACGGGUGAGUAACACGUAAAGAACCUGCCUCAUAGACUGGGACAACUAUUGGAAACGAUAGCUAAUACCGGAUAACAGUAUUUCUCGCAUGAGAGAUAUUUAAAAGUUGGUUAUGCUAACACUAUGAGAUGGCUUUGCGGUGCAUUAGCUAGUUGGUGGGGUAAAGGCCCACCAAGGCGACGAUGCAUAGCCGACCUGAGAGGGUGAUCGGCCACACUGGGACUGAGACACGGCCCAGACUCCUACGGGAGGCAGCAGUAGGGAAUCUUCCGCAAUGGGCGAAAGCCUGACGGAGCAACGCCGCGUGAGUGAAGAAGGACUUCGGUUCGUAAAGCUCUGUUGUUAGGGAAGAAUGAAUAUGUAGUAACUAUACAUGUAAGAGACGGUACCUAACCAGAAAGCCACGGCUAACUACGUG
RNAcentral lists this ribosomal RNA (499 nucleotides) under uncultured bacterium. Its description in RNAcentral is "partial 16S ribosomal RNA". It matches the Rfam family "Bacterial small subunit ribosomal RNA", at positions 28 to 507 of the family's 1533-position model. The record is from RNAcentral.